RNAcentral lists this long non-coding RNA (725 nucleotides) under Glycine max (soybean). RNAcentral's name for it is "long non-coding RNA (GMAX_LNC002102)". The record is from RNAcentral. Lineage: Eukaryota; Viridiplantae; Streptophyta; Magnoliopsida; Fabales; Fabaceae.
UCUACGGAAGUUUCAUCAUCAUCAUUUUCUUCCUGCAAAAUUCUUUCCUCUUUUUGUUCUCAUUCCCAUCCAAUUCUUCCGGGCAAUUUUUUUUUUCUUUUUCCUAAAUUUGCCAGAAAGUGAAAUUAGAUAAAUUGGAUUUUUAUAUAUCCUUGGGUGAGUGAAAAAAUGCAAGACAAAAAGUAAAGCCAACAAGACUUAUUGAAAAAAGCAAAUACAUAGCCAUCAAGUAAUCAUUUAAUAGUAUUAAACUUGCAUAUUAGCUGCAACCUUGGUUUCUCUCAUUUUCUUACAGGCACCCACCCGAGUAGAGUCCAGCUCCGAACCCGUUCACGUCUUCCUACCCUGAAUGGACAUUCAAUCUGUAAGUGCUCCAUUCCCUUUCGAUUCAUCUCACAAUCGCUGUACUUGAAGCUCUCCAUAGCUCUGAGCCACGAUUGGGUUUUUUUUUCUCCCCUUCGAUUUUAACUUUUUUUCCUUUCUUUUUUGUGUUUAUAGGUUUGAAUUUUUAGGGUUUUGAAGUUUCUGCGCGUUUCUCUGUUGUUGGGUAUUGAUUUUGGAGGCGGGGGAUAGUAUAAAUAGGGUUAGGGUUUUCUUGAAAGCGUUGGUGGAUUGUGGUUAGGGUUUGGUUAUUCGAGACGGCGACGAUUGGCGUGGGUUAGAGGAUAAUGUGUAUACUGUGUGUGAUUCAGAAGUGGUCUCGCCGGGUUGCUACAAUGCNNNNN